This 253-nucleotide ribosomal RNA is filed under the name uncultured bacterium. RNAcentral describes it as "partial 16S ribosomal RNA". It matches the Rfam family "Bacterial small subunit ribosomal RNA", at positions 524 to 776 of the family's 1533-position model. The record is from RNAcentral.
UACGUAGGGUGCAAGCGUUGUCCGGAAUUAUUGGGCGUAAAGAGCUCGUAGGCGGGUUGCCAAGUUUGGGGUGAAAUCCUCCGGCUCAACCGGGGAAGUGCCUUGAAUACUGGCGGUCUCGAGGGAGGUAGGGGCGUGCGGAACUAACGGUGGAGCGGUGAAAUGCGUUGAUAUCGUUAGGAACUCCGGUGGCGAAGGCGGCACGCUGGACCUCUUCUGACGCUGAGGCACGAAAGCCAGGGGAGCGAACGGG